This 384-nucleotide ribosomal RNA is filed under the name uncultured bacterium. Its description in RNAcentral is "bacterial SSU rRNA". It matches the Rfam family "Bacterial small subunit ribosomal RNA", at positions 29 to 402 of the family's 1533-position model. The record is from RNAcentral.
AACGAACGCUGGCGGCGCGCCUAACACAUGCAAGUCGAACGAGAAGGCGUAGCAAUACGCUUGUAGAGUGGCGAACGGGUGAGUAAUACGUGGGUGACCUACCCUCGAGUGGGGAAUAACCCGCCGAAAGGCGGGCUAAUGCCGCGUACGCUUCCGUCCUCACGGGGACGGAAGGAAAGCUGUACCGUGGGUACGGCGCUCAAGGAUGGGCUCACGUCCUAUCAGCUUGUUGGUAGGGUAACGGCCACCAAGGCUACGACGGGUAGCUGGUCUGAGAGGACGAUCAGCCACACUGGCACUGCGACACGGGCCAGACUCCUACGGGAGGCAGCAGUGAGGAAUAUUGCGACAAUGGGACGAAAGCCUGACGCAGCGACGCCGCGG